UAAAAGGCUCUUUUAAGAGCCACCCAAUCCUUAAGGAGCUUUUCCU
Non-coding RNA from Gasterosteus aculeatus (three-spined stickleback), 46 nucleotides. NCBI's taxonomy places the organism in Eukaryota, Metazoa, Chordata, Actinopteri, Perciformes, Gasterosteidae. The record is from Rfam.